Molecule: long non-coding RNA, 8357 nt
Organism: Toxorhynchites rutilus septentrionalis
Lineage: Eukaryota; Metazoa; Arthropoda; Insecta; Diptera; Culicidae
Exons: 5
Source: RefSeq, a predicted model, not a curated record
ACUAGGUGGGCCAAUCUGCUAAAACCACUCUGCAGCCAUCUUGAAAGUCUACUGUGUUUUGUUUACAAACAAAACACAAUACGUUUUUUAUAACCAAAUUGCCAUGCGAUACGGCCAUUUACAUUACAGACGUCUCUUCAUUGAAAACGAAUGAUUUCAAUAGAUCUUGUUGAUCUUUUUUUUUUGUUUAAUCGGGCUUUUUCAACGCAUGAAGACACAAGCACGGAUAAAAAAGCAGAUUCGUUGGAAAUUGGAGAUAUAAUCCCGGUUGAAGCAUCUUCACAUUCGUUUUUAGACCCGGUCCCACAACGAGUGGUGCAUUCUUUUGGAGCUUCUACAUAUCUACAAUAUCUCCCGUAACGGCUCGUGAUCUGCGUUUUUUAACGGAAUGUUUUAGAUGGACUAUUACUCCGGCACUUCCACCCUCAGUGGCCAGUGGCAUCCCAGAAAGACGGGUGUCGCGUCCCUGUACUGAGCCCAAAUCAUACGCUGAAACGCUAGAUAGUGUUGCUACCAGCUAAAGCUAAUGAUCGUUCGUUCAAUGGUGCUGCUGCUGCAGCUGCUACUGCCACUCCAGCCACAGUACUGUCCAAAUAUGAGGAUGACCAGUGUAUCGUACCAAAAAUUGACAGUCGCAGAAAAUUUUGAAACGGGAACAAGGUUUGAAGAAUCUUCAGGGAGAACUUCGCAACGAAGAAACUAUGUUGAUGUUAUUGAAGAAGUUGAAACAGUCUCAACACGUAAUGAUUAUGGAAAAUUGCAUCGUGACUUCAAGUAAUACAAACAUGAACAACCCUCGAGCUUCGAUACCAGUCCCCUAACGAAAGGGUUACUCAGUGCGGUCGCAUUUCCAGCUCAUUCGAAAAACAUAAUUCAUGGGUCACCUAUCAAUAUCGCGAAACCGCUUCAACGUUUACUUUUACUCCCGGGAGGUACUUAUUAUACUGCGACAUAUGUUACCUAUUGGAGCAAUCCGAACAGGGUCCAAUCUAAUCAUCACACCGUCAGUGACGAUAACUCCUACGAGCGCACCUUCGAAUAGUGUAAAACUCAAAGCUGGAGAAAACCUUGCUAUAGAUCCCACCGCUCAAACCCAAAAUGCACUUCAUUCCGAAUGGAUGCCACCGGAGGUGGCUGUUGGAUGAUAUACAAUGAUUCCGUGGAUCAGGCAAUGAGCUAUUUUAGAAGGGAACAAUACGACGUGCUUAUAGAAGAUUACUAUAAUAUGCUUUCCCCGGAGUUCCUUCCAGCUGUGGGGACAGAAGGUGGAUGUCGUCUUUUGCACAUCAAUUACAAUUUGUCGUUCGGAUUCUGUUUCUCCUUGCGGCACGAACACAUAUAUAUUUUGGUUCAACAACACAUGGUUCUAAAGGACAUCCGUGCAAGAACAUGCAAAGCAGGGAUUGUUAUAGUGAUACACUUUCUCAUUGGGAAGAGAAAUUCUGUGAGUGCGCGUGCGAGUGUGGUUGUAACGAGCGCGCACCGAUGAAGGGGCAAUCUUUUUUUUACGCGAUUCUCUUAAAAUUACGCAAUAUUUUCACGCAUUUUUUGUGAGCACUAGCGGCCCGUCCCAUGUUUUCCCAAGUUUCCCGCAUACUCAUUGAAACAAAUGAGCCCUGGUGUUUGGUUUGUUCAAAUUGAUUAUUCAAUCUUUCCACUUAAGGUGAAGGUGGAAGCUAGCCAUUGUAGUAGUAUAGGUAAAACCACGUGUAAAAAUGGGGUAAUAGUGUUUGUGAGAGAAGAGCAAAGCACAUGUAAAUAGAUCAAUUCACUUAUCAGUGGCGCUUCAUUGACACGAGUCUUUGAAUACAUUUGAAAAAAAAUAACAAUUCAAUACUGAAGUUAAAUGUAUGAACGAUAUGUUCCGAUGAACGAUUGCAAACAUAAAUAUAUAUGGAAGGUGCAUUUGAAUAUGAAGUAAAAUUCUGAUUAUACGCGAGCGUAACAUGAGCAAAUUUAUAACACAUGCGAAUUGGGGCUCUUUUGAUAUUAACAAGUUCUUCCGCAUAGUAUCGAUGCUGAUAAUUCCUCAAUUUUUUUCCUUCGUUGGUCGUAUUGUUUUCACAUAUUCACGUUGGAGAGCCUUAACCCUUCUCUUCGUUGGCCGAGACAUUUAGAUUGAAUGUAAUACUUUUCCGUUUAUUGUUUUUGAAAGCAUAGGGAGCCGUGGCAGUGUUCCGAGUUCUGCAAUACAAUUUUCUUACCCUAUGUUAAAGUUGCUAAAACUAACAUAAUAUACCCAUUAAACGUAAAAAUAAUGAUUGUUGAUAUCAACACAAUUUUAUUCUAUUGAUUUUCAUAACAUGAAACGCUUUAACUCAGGAAUAACAUUUUAUUGAGUGGUUUUGAUAGCUGUUUCGAUGAUGUUGUCUGGCAUCAGUAACGAAAAAAUAACGAUGCUUUCACCAAUACAAAUAAAACCAUUGCCGAAGAUUGAAAAAUGAAAAUUUAACUUUCAGAGCACUUGCUCGAGUUUUCCGACGUUUUUCACUAUACAGUGCGACAGCAGGUGAAAAUUUAAUAUCUUGUGAGUAAUCGAUUAGAGUUUGGUUGAUAUUACUUCAUGGGAAAUGUGCGAAAACGAUCAUUUUCUUCACACUGUUUCGCAAAAUUAUUGAUUUUCUGGCGAGGGGUGAGGGAGGGAGAUGAAAGAAAUGAGCGCCAUUGUGGCAGCCAUUUGUGGCUAGCUUCCACCUUCACCUUAAACGCGCUGGAAAAGGGAGUUGUAUGUAUGUAGUGUGUAUGCAUGUCUUCUAUCUCUCUGUCUCUCUUUUCUCUCUCAGAAAAUUUUAAAAUUACCUUUUAGCCUCGAGGAAGCCUGUUGACUGACUGGCUAGAGCGAGAAUAGAAUUUAAAUUUUCUUCUUACUAUUUAGGUUUGAAACACCAAAGUUCAUUUUCCUCUUACCUUGAAAAGUCCACUGAGGAUAGCAAAACUAACUCUCUCGUAACCUUUGAAAGAACGAUUUUUAAAGUUAUUUAAUGGCAUAUUCAUUCUACAGUUUUGCAUUUUUAUUAUUAUUUGUAGGACAACCUAUUUAAGUAGCAUUGUGAGAAACAUAUCAGCCAUUUCUCCAUCAAGGGGGGACCCCGAUCUGGAAAAUCGAAAAAAUCGAAUUUUUGUUUUUUGCAUUUUUGAGUACUUAUGCCCUAGGAAAUGUUAUCCCAAAAGUAUUUUUCGUAAAAAUGGAUUAUCUGAAGCGUUACAUAACCGUUUUUCAUGUUCCUUUAUUCCAUUUUUUUUGAGCUUUUAAACAACGAUUUUUCAUGUAAAAUAACUUAUUUUUAAAAAAGACCGCCAUUUUGGAAUUUUUUUCGAAUUUUCAAAAACUAUGCAACGCCUCAAGUAUUGCCUUAAAGCUUCAAAAUAUUCAUUGGAAUUUGUUCUACGACACCCCGUUGCUUCUGUACUACGGAUCCAGCUGUCAACAGUGUUAUAAUUAUUAUUCGUGCAUUAAAAAAAUGGAAAAUACUACUUCAUAUAAACCUUAAACAAUAACCAAAAUACCCGAACACAGAAGUGUAUAUAAUAUUGCCAUGCCUGGAAAGCAUCUAAUUAUUUGUUAAUUUGUGUUGUGUUAUUUGUAGUACCGUAAACCGGGGGCAAAUUGAUCACGAUUUUCAGAAAAAUGUAAAUAUUUCCGAAUUUUUUUGUUAGAUUUAAACCUAAUUAUUUUUGAAAUCAGUACUGGUGCUAAGGCCACAAAACGUUAUGGAAUUUGUUGAAAAAAAUCCUUGAGCGUUAAUUUGGAAAAUUUUUAGCAGAAAAUUUCAAAAUUUUACUUCGGGGUGAAAUUGAUAAAUCUCUGUUUUUCAGGAUUUUCUAGUGUCAUACGCACAAAAAUGUAUACAAAAUCUAUUAUUUCUUCACCUACGGUCAUUUGAAUGGGAUUUGAACACUGAUCUGUAGGUCAUCCGGAGACCAUUCCGGUUAUCCUAAUGUGAAAUCCUUGAAAUUGUCACCAAUAAGCUAGUUUUGCCAAACCAAGAUGUUCGAUAUGUCGAAUGAUGGGAUUCGGUUCUGGUCAUGCGUCGUGCUGUUUUUGUAAAAUAGUAUGUUUUUUACUUGUUUGAAUAGUAAUUACAAGUAUUUGAAUGCUUAUUCAACUCAUCAAGUAUCGGCUAGAAGUGGAUUAAUAUGUUUAGCGUCUAUAAAUAUUGUUUUGAUUUGUUGAAAAUAUGUUUCUUUACCAUAGUUGAAAAUGAAAACGAAAAUGCUAUUUAGAAAAAUAUUGUUUUUUAUGCAAUUUAAUAAGGGAUUCGUUGAGAGCCAUUGGCAAAAAGAACCUUCAGAUGAUGCUUGAACAUGUCAGAUCAAAAAAUUUUAAAAUUAAAUUAAACUAAAUUGAUCUGAAAAUUUAUGUUUGUUUUCAUCAAUACGUUUGAUCAAUUUGCCCCCGGAUGACGGUACCGUGUUCUUUGUAGCACCGGGGUGAGAUUGGAUCAAAUCGAAAGAAAUUGCAGUUAGUGAUAUCUAGACAAGUAUUGCAAAUAUUUUUGAAAGCUGUGAACCGUUUAGGAGGAGAUAUAUUUUCACUACUUCCAGUGCAUAAUACUUUACUGUAAUACAAAUAGUUAUUGUUUAGUAAUUUAUCAGAAUUUGAUGUAUUUACAAAUCAAGCUUAGACCUAUUCUCAUCCCCAUCGACGGUACUUUAGCGAAUUAAUCUAAUCCGGCGAACAAAACAGUAGAAAACUAGUAACUUCGAUAUACCAGGUGAGAGACGAACCAACCUACGGCUUAAAGUCUCUAUAAUAAAGAGCAAAAAAAUGUACCAGGUGUUAUUUGUAUACUUCUAUGCGAGCACUAGUUAAUGAAUUAAAGUUUCACAUACUAUAGUGGAACCAAUGUGAUAGAAGACACGAUAAGUCACCAAAUAAAACUUAAUUAUUGUAUACUGAUCAGUGUCAAAUUCACGCCCAAGUCCUUCAACGUUGGGACACCAUUUUUGACAUCAUCGGUCACAUAAUCGCGCUCGACGGGUUUGGUGUGCAAGUCUCCCAACGGGAACGAGAUGCAAACGAAUUCUGUAAAUCUCACCUUCAUCAUGAAAGUAGGAUCAUCCCGUAAACGCCAAUAGCUCUACCAGCUUUCAUUCUUGCACAUCACCUGGUGGAACCAAUCGAUCAUUUCCGACAACUUGUACCGGCGUAGACCAACAGUCUGAUAGAUUUGGUCUGGCUGUCCGGGCAACAUUCGAACAGUAUUGCUGUUUGUCGGUGCGCUUGGACCACAAUGGCAUGUCGCGGAGCGAUCUUCCUGGUAUAUACCUAAUGGGCGGAAUAUGACCGCCUCGAGGAACUCACAAACCGCAAGUUCACAUAUUUACUCUUGUGAGUACCUCCGAGGAGAAAAUUUUUGUCGAUUAGAUUUGUGACAUAAGUUGAAUUUUGUCACUGUUCACUUUAAUCGAUUUACGUGUUGGCUACUCAUGCAUUUGCAGAUUUUCAGCUGAUUUUCUUCAACAUUUCAUUGACAUGCAACAAAGCAAGCUGUUCACUGCUAAUUCUCUUUCUCUUUGUGUGUUAACAAAACAUGCUCUCUGUUUAUUUACACCGCGCUUUUGGACACGAAUUUUUUAAGCGCUUUUAUUUAUAGUGAGAAAACGAACACAUGCACACACGCAGACGCGCACACUUCGCGCAGUGAUAAAAUGAACAAACUGUUGUGUGCUGUAUGCUGGGGGACUUGGACGCUUUCUGGGACUUGGUGUUAUUGCCGACGGGGCAGUGUUAUACACACUGCGUACUGCGGGUGCUGGCUCGUUCUCACACAAAAAACACAUCGCAGCUGCUCACUCUCUCACUCUGUUUGUGUUUACGUCAAGAAUACGACCAUUUACGACCGUUUACGACUGUUCACGACGACCGCGCUUUAUUUUUUAGCGAUUUUAUUUAUAGUAAGACAUCAGUUGCGUGAAAAAUAAUUCAGUUUACUUAUUAUUAUCAUCCUUCACUUACUAGAAGUGAUACUGAUAGCAACUGCAUGUGUAAUUACUGGAAAGGUUUGCCGACCAACAGACCUAUUAGUAAACUUGAGGUAUGGAAAGUAUCGUGUUUGGGCAUUGUGUACUUCGAGUUUGGUGUCGAUUUACCACCGCUCGUGCAGAAGCGACCAAGGUUACAGUAAAACCUUCCGGAGUAAAAGGUUCAUUGCACUGAUUCACAACAUCGUAUAUAACAAUGAACAAAUGUUGAUGGUUUAGAAAGGAUACCAAGAAGGAUAAGCUAUGCUCUUGAGUAACAUUGAAUAUGCUGAUGUGUAAUGAACAUCCGGAUGAGGACGUUGAGGACCGGCAAAUGUUUUCCGAUACGGUUGAGAUGCGAGCGGGAAGAAUUAUUGCAGAAUUUAUUAGAAAAUUAAUUUGCUAUUUCGCAAAACCGAUGGGUCGGAAUAAGGUGAUCGAUGUAAAGUUCAGCGGGGAUGAUAGUGAAGAGAAAAAUCUAUAGACCAGAAAAAAGAGUUAAUGAAAAAAAUGUUCAUUUAAGUACGUUAAACGUUUUUAAUUCGAGCAGUAACGACACUGCUUUGCUCAUUGAUAAAUAAUUGACCUGCUAUUUGGAUUAAUAAGUGUGAACAUACUAUUUCGUAAAUUUAUAUGUACAUAUUUAAUAGAAUUAUGUAUUUAAAAAGAAAACUUUAAACUUUUUUUAUAUAAACAUUUAUGUAUUUCAGUAUUUUGCGGAAAAUCGGAACAAUUAUCUGAAUAAAUAUUGAUCGUGCUGAUCUGAAUAUUCAUUUUCGACAUUCAAGAUUUUAUUUAUUCCGAGAGAUGAUUCUAGUUUAAUGAUUGAAAAAUCUAUAUUUAGUUGUUCGACAUUUUUCUACGUUACAAUGUCUAGAAGUAUUGUAUUAAAAUUCAUCAUCAUAGUUUUAUAUAAACGAUCAUAGUUUUAUGACUAUAUUAAUUAAGACGUACGUUGCUAUUUAUAAUUAAUCAGUUAGAAAAAAUCGUGCUUAUCGCGUCUAUAGUUCUUUAAAAUAGCUUAAACGAUUUCAUUGCUUUUUUUUAUACUUCAUUAAAGAGCUGCUGGUAUACUUGCGCUCUCAGUGGCCGAACGAGAAGAGAAUGGAUGGAGUUCAGACGGCUACAAACCACCCAGUGACUGUUUCCCCGACGGCGGAAAAAAUCAACUGAUUGGUCAUUGGCGGAGGCUAUGAUAAACUCAACAAUAUGGUAGGAUGAUCCCACCGACACCCGCCCGUGUUCGGAGUUACCGACGCGACUGACUUCGUGGGAACCAGAUUCAGAUGCCAAUUGUUCAGCAGAACAAUUAGAAAAAAAGGAGAAACAUAGAAAAAAGCCUUCUGCAUGCUCACACAAAAACCGAAAAAGGGUAGCAAACAUUCUAUGGUUUCAUUUGUGAAUAUGUUAUUUAGAGUAUAUCGAUAACCAAAUAGCCUUGAAGGGAUAGAGUCGCUUGGUGAAUAGACAAAUAACAUUUGAGAAAACAGACGCAUAUUAUUAUUCAUUCUUCAAGCUUGUUUUAUUUUCUGAACUGAAUGUUUACUGCACACUACUCGGUUUUCCCGACGAUUUUUAAGACCGAUUGGGUCACUGCACUGAACCUGAAACGAGAUGCGCAGCGCUAGGAAACCUGACGAGAAGGUAUAUAUCUGUGCCGAUUACUCAAUCGGCGCUAGAAGCAAACUAAUCCCUCCUAACGUUCGAAGGUAUUUUUACCAAACUUGUUGACGAACGUGUCUCCAGUAUAAUAAACCAUUCCGUAUCUGUGAGUAGAAGAGGAUGAUGAGUUAAAAAAUCGGUUCACGCUGCUUCGCGACUACUGUUACCAUUCACGACUGAAGAAGAGCCGAUCCAACUGGAAGGAGGUCAAAUACUUCGAUUACUUAAUUAAUGCAAAUUAAAUCCACGACAUUUUCAACCAUCUCCCAGAUGCCAGCUCCAAUUACGACUCCAAUUACUGCUCGCGUUGGUUGUCACCUGUACCAAAUUCCAUUACAUGGCCGUCGUUUCACGCUGUAAAUAGAUCAUCGUUAAUCGAGAAUUGAAGAAAUAUUUUUUGUUGAUAGUUCCUCACGCUUUAUUUUGUUUUCUGAAUAGAACAAAACGAAAUAGUUGAAAAAGUUUCGCACAUAUGUUCGUAUGCUCAUAUGUAUUAGUGACCCCCUUCCGCAUUUUUUGUAAACAAUCCCCUCUCACACUCCUCGCUACUCACCACUCCCCUCGCUAACUUACUGAAGAUACGGACUCACCUUAGUAAUACUUCUAUACAUCUUGGUGUGCAGUAAACAUUCAGUUCAGAAAAUAAAACAAGCUUGAAGAAUGAAUAAUAAUAUGCGUCUGUUUUCUCAAAUGUUAUUUGUCUAUUCACCAAGCGACUCUAUCCCUUCAAG